GACAAACGCUGGCGGCGUGCCUAAGACAUGCAAGUCGGACGGAGGGCGAAAGCUCUCAGUGGCGGACGGGUGAGGAACGCGUGGAGAACCUGCCCCGGGAUGGGGGAUACCCGCCAGAAAUGGCGGCUAAGACCGCAUACGAUCCAGCGCCGAGGGGUGCUGGAGGAAAACCUUCGGGUGUCCUGGGAGGGGUCCGCGUCGGAUUAGCUAGUUGGUGGGGUAACGGCUCACCAAGGCCGCGAUCCGUAGCUGGUCUGAGAGGACGGCCAGCCACACU
RNAcentral lists this ribosomal RNA (277 nucleotides) under uncultured bacterium. RNAcentral's name for it is "partial 16S ribosomal RNA". It matches the Rfam family "Bacterial small subunit ribosomal RNA", at positions 28 to 314 of the family's 1533-position model. The record is from RNAcentral.